AUCGCCAGCAGGGCUCAGGGGGAUAACCUUUCACAACAACUUUGGUCAGAGAUGCUGUACCAGCUUCAUUGGACAAGAGCUACCACCUUCUAGCCCUGAAAAACCACGGCGGCCUAGUAAUUCCAUCACAAGGCACAGUAAAGGUGCUGAGAGCUGCAGAGGGUGAUCCGCCGAGCUUCAACAACACAAGCUCCUGAGGUGUCGACAGUAACACACAUCGUCCGAGAGGAGAUUGGAACGGAUGAUGUUUUUUUGCUUGGGGAACACAUUGAAGAGACACAGUUUGGCAUCGACAACAAUCAUUCAGACAUGUUGUCAUUGGUUGUGUCUGUGUUUCUCAAGCUAAGGCUGCACCACAUUGCCAAACUCACCACACUGGAAGUGCAAAAAGGGAGCACGAGAAAGAAGCUCUGCAAGACAGUCCUAUUCCAGGGGUUUGUGUGUGUGUGUGUGUGUGUGUGUGUGUGUGUGUGUGUGUGUGUGUCUGAGUGCGUGUGUGUGUGUGUGUGUGUGAUAGUUAGUUAGUUAGACCCUCUUUGGUGCAAACACCCGGCGUUCUGUUGAAGUUAUUUGUGUGCGUGCGCUUGCAAAUAUUCAAUUCAUUUUAUUUCUAUAUUGUUUUUUAACGUAUUAAAUGUCUGACUUUACUACUACUAUCUGUUUCUGCUUCUCUAUCAAAAUUAUAGUGUGUGAUUUGCAAAAUACCUAUCAUUGCCAAACAGACGGUUUGGCAGUAAACUGAUUACUAUCAACAGCUUCUCCAUUUCCACUAUAUGAGUCAUGCCCCAAUAGGGCGAUGAGCCAAUACGCUUGAACCCCAAAGACGUGAGAAGCUUUUUGAUUGGUCGGUAGAGUGGGAGUUUUGAAACGUCAGUCAGUCAUUCAGAUGCAACGUGAACGCACCUUCACAGAGAAACAAAGAAAGAACCAGCACGUGGUCUGAGACCGUUGAACGAUGAACUUCACUGACUGAGGAGUUUACUUGUUGAAGAGCUUCAGAUCACAUGACUCAAGACGUCCAAGAGAAUUAAAGUGUGAAAUGAUCAAAUUGAUUGAAGACCGAUCAGAAUAUAACUGAUCCAUCACGAAUCAGCUGUAUUAUUUAGUAAAGAAUUAUUGUCAACA
Gasterosteus aculeatus aculeatus (three-spined stickleback) is the source of this 1125-nucleotide long non-coding RNA. Lineage: Eukaryota; Metazoa; Chordata; Actinopteri; Perciformes; Gasterosteidae. The record is from Ensembl.